Molecule: ribosomal RNA, 440 nt
Filed under: uncultured bacterium
Lineage: Bacteria
Description: partial 16S ribosomal RNA
Rfam family: Bacterial small subunit ribosomal RNA
Source: RNAcentral
CUACGGGGUGCACCAGCAGGGAAUAUUGCACAAUGGACGGAAGUCUGAUGCAGCGACGCCGCGUGGAUGAUGAAGGCCCUCGGGUUGUAAAAUCCUUUUCAGGGGGACGAGGAAGGACGGUACCCUUGGAAUAAGCGUCGGCUAACUACGUGCCAGCAGCCGCGGUAAGACGUAGGACGCAAGCGUUAUCCGGAUUUACUGGGCGUAAAGCGUCUGUAGGCGGAAUGGUAAGUUGGACGUGAAAGCUCCGGGCUCAACUCGGAGAGGUCGUUCAAUACUGCCAAACUAGAAGGCAUCAGAGGAGCGUGGAAUUUCCGGUGUAGCGGUAAAAUGCGCAGAUAUCGGAAGGAACACCAAUGGCGAAGGCAGCGCUCUGGGAUGAACCUGACGCUAAGAGACGAAAGCUAGGGGAGCGAACAGGAUUAGAUACCCCCGUAGUC